Molecule: ribosomal RNA, 279 nt
Filed under: uncultured bacterium
Lineage: Bacteria
Description: partial 16S ribosomal RNA
Rfam family: Bacterial small subunit ribosomal RNA
Source: RNAcentral
UGCCAGCAGCCGCGGUAAUACGGAGGGCGCAAGCGUUGUUCGGAAUCACUGGGCAUAAAGAGCACGUAGGCGGUCAAUUAAGUCGGAUGUGAAAUCCCACAGCUUAACUGUGGAACUGCAUACGAUACUGGUUGACUUGAGGAUGGCAGGGGUGAGUGGAACUCCAGGUGGAACGGUGAAAUGUUUAGAUAUCUGGAGGAACACCGGUGGCGAAAGCGACUCACUGGGCCAUCACUGACGCUGAGGUGCGAAAGCUAGGGUAGCGAACGGGAUUAGAUA